AUAAGGAUCACCGUUUGGAACUGCCGGGGUUUGGGGAAUGGCCCGGCAGUUCGGGGGCUUCUGGACCUCCAGAAGCGGGUGGACCCCGAUAUUCUUUUCUUAUCCGAGACAAAAUUGGAUGGGAGAAGGAAGCAAUGGAUAAAAUACCUAUUGGGAAUGCCAAGUAUGGUGGUAAGGGAUUGUGAAGGAAAGAGCGAUUGGCUUGCUUUAAUGUGGAAGAGACAUGUGAAA
RNAcentral lists this ribosomal RNA (231 nucleotides) under Triticum aestivum (bread wheat). RNAcentral describes it as "partial small subunit ribosomal RNA". Lineage: Eukaryota; Viridiplantae; Streptophyta; Magnoliopsida; Poales; Poaceae. The record is from RNAcentral.